Molecule: ribosomal RNA, 433 nt
Filed under: uncultured bacterium
Lineage: Bacteria
Description: partial 16S ribosomal RNA
Rfam family: Bacterial small subunit ribosomal RNA
Source: RNAcentral
AACGAGCGCUGGCGGCAUGCCUAACACAUGCAAGUCGAACGAGACCUUCGGGUCUAGUGGCGCACGGGUGCGUAACGCGUGGGAACCUGCCCUUAGGUUCGGAAUAACUCCCCGAAAGGGGUGCUAAUACCGGAUAAUGUCUUCGGACCAAAGAUUUAUCGCCUUUGGAUGGGCCCGCGUUGGAUUAGCUAGUUGGUAGGGUAAAAGCAUACCAAGGCGACGAUCCAUAGCUGGUCUGAGAGGAUGAUCAGCCACACUGGGACUGAGACACGGCCCAGACUCCUACGGAAGGCAGCAGUGGGGAAUAUUGGACAAUGGGCGAAAGCCUGAUCCAGCAAUGCCGCGUGAGUGAUGAAGGCCUGAGGGUUGUAAAGCUCUUUUACCCAGGAUGAUAAUGACAGUACCGGGAGAAUAAGCUCCGGCUAACUACGUG